This 253-nucleotide ribosomal RNA is filed under the name uncultured bacterium. RNAcentral's name for it is "partial 16S ribosomal RNA". It matches the Rfam family "Bacterial small subunit ribosomal RNA", at positions 524 to 776 of the family's 1533-position model. The record is from RNAcentral.
UACAGAGGUCUCAAGCGUUGUUCGGAUUCAUUGGGCGUAAAGGGUGCGUAGGCGGCGCGGUAAGUCGGGUGUGAAAUCUCGGAGCUUAACUCCGAAACUGCACUCGAUACUGCCGUGCUUGAGGACUGGAGAGGAGACUGGAAUUUACGGUGUAGCGGUGAAAUGCGUAGAUAUCGUAAGGAAGACCAGUGGCGAAGGCGGGUCUCUGGGCAUUAACUGACGCUGAGGAGCGAAAGCAUGGGGAGCGAACAGG